CUGGAGGAUGAUAAGCACCUGGUGGC
Molecule: non-coding RNA, 26 nt
Filed under: Cricetulus griseus (Chinese hamster)
Lineage: Eukaryota; Metazoa; Chordata; Mammalia; Rodentia; Cricetidae
Source: RNAcentral